AGGGCGUGUUUCCUUGGGAAGAACGGACAUGGGGAAAGAAAAGUUGAGGAGCGAGACAAACAGGGCGCCUGAGCUUGCAGGGCCAGUCCGGGAGUACCGAGAGAAAGAGAAAGCUGGGGUGACUGCUGGGAAAUCGGCUCCCAGAGCCCCGGCAGGUGCUCGCCGCCGCCGCAGGAGGACAGAAGGACAGAAGACGUAGACUGCAAGCUAGGGCUCUCGGGGGGCUGGGGCUGGAGAGAGGACCUGGGAAGUGGGAGGGUGAGAGUGACAGCAGAAACCAGAGUGACUAGGUAGAUUCCAGGACAGACCGAGAAGCCGAGGUGCAGAGUGAGAGUUGGAGGGACAGAGAAGGCCCGGGUGCCGGGCAGGCAGGGAGUUCGUUAUAGGCUAUGUGGGGGUGCAGGCCAGGCAGGGGAAGGUGGCCAGCUGUCUGGAAGGCAGGGACAGCGCACAGGGGCGUCAGGAGCUCUCGGAGGCAAGCGUGGUGGGGUGGCUGGGUGCAGAGUGAGGGGAGAAGACACCAUCGCCCCGGAACAGUUUUCCGGCCAGGGCCAGGGCCGCUGCUGGACAGUGUGGGGGUCAACGGGAGGCAUCACCGCUGCCGUCAGUCAGAUACAUCGACAGUUGGCAUGAUGUUUGGUAAUUGACUGACACAACUCCACGUGGGUUUCUGACACCAUCAUCCUGCCCGAGAGCCUGAGGGGGAGACAAAGAUGCUCCUGUGACCAGGAGGGGCGUGGACAGUGCCAAGUAUCCUCACCCAAGCGCAGCAAUGGACUAAGUGUGUGUGAAGCCAGGGGAGCACUUUGAAGGCGCUUGAUAGCAAAGUGUCUUUUUGUAUAAUUGUUUUUUGGGAAAAAAAUCCUAGUAAACAUUCACUGUAAAUUUUUGAUACCGGGGAAUGAAACUCCCAA
Cavia porcellus (domestic guinea pig) is the source of this 914-nucleotide long non-coding RNA. RefSeq lists it as uncharacterized. NCBI's taxonomy places the organism in Eukaryota, Metazoa, Chordata, Mammalia, Rodentia, Caviidae. The transcript has 2 exons. The record is from RefSeq and is a predicted model, not a curated record.